GUCCUACUGUUGUGAAUACCUUCAAAUUAUAAAAAUACUUCUGUUGGAAUUGUGUUACCUUGAGAGCGUGAAUGGAAACUCAAAUUCAAAUCUUAAGUAAUUAAUGCACGCUAAGUAUUGUUUACGAUGGUUGUUGUUAAUUGUUUCAUUUUCCCCAUCUAUGUAGCUCUUCCUGAUGCAUAUAGCAACUCUUGAUUUGUCAAACGAUAUGGUUGGUAUUUCCU
Molecule: long non-coding RNA, 224 nt
Filed under: Mytilus galloprovincialis (Mediterranean mussel)
Lineage: Eukaryota; Metazoa; Mollusca; Bivalvia; Mytilida; Mytilidae
Source: RNAcentral